This 460-nucleotide ribosomal RNA is filed under the name uncultured bacterium. RNAcentral's name for it is "bacterial SSU rRNA". It matches the Rfam family "Bacterial small subunit ribosomal RNA", at positions 355 to 804 of the family's 1533-position model. The record is from RNAcentral.
UGGGGAAUUUUGGACAAUGGGGGCAACCCUGAUCCAGCCAUUCCGCGUGAGUGAAGAAGGCCUUCGGGUUGUAAAGCUCUUUCAGCAGGAACGAAACGGUCGGCUUUAAUAAAGUCGGCUAAUGACGGUACCUGCAGAAGAAGCACCGGCUAACUACGUGCCAGCAGCCGCGGUAAUACGUAGGGUGCGAGCGUUAAUCGGGAAUUACUGGGCGUAAAGCGUGCGCAGGCGGCGACAUAAGACAGAUGUGAAAUCCCCGGGCUCAACCUGGGAACUGCGUUUGUGACUGUGUUGCUAGAGUGUAGCAGAGGGGGGUGGAAUUCCACGUGUAGCAGUGAAAUGCGUAGAGAUGUGGAGGAACACCGAUGGCGAAGGCAGCCCCCUGGGUUAACACUGACGCUCAUGCACGAAAGCGUGGGGAGCAAACAGGAUUAGAUACCCCUGUAGUCCCUGAGCGGGC